Molecule: ribosomal RNA, 253 nt
Filed under: uncultured bacterium
Lineage: Bacteria
Description: partial 16S ribosomal RNA
Rfam family: Bacterial small subunit ribosomal RNA
Source: RNAcentral
UACGUAGGUGGCAAGCGUUGUCCGGAUUUAUUGGGCUUAAAGGGUGCGUAGGCGGCUUUGUAAGUCAGUGGUGAAAUAUGGCAGCUCAACUGUCAAGGUGCCAUUGAUACUGCGGAGCUUGAGUACAGAUGAGGUAGGCGGAAUUGACGGUGUAGCGGUGAAAUGCUUAGAUAUCGUCAAGAACACCGAUAGCGAAGGCAGCUUACUAGGCUGUAACUGACGCUGAGGCACGAAAGUGUGGGGAUCAAACAGG